RNAcentral lists this ribosomal RNA (253 nucleotides) under uncultured bacterium. RNAcentral's name for it is "partial 16S ribosomal RNA". It matches the Rfam family "Bacterial small subunit ribosomal RNA", at positions 524 to 776 of the family's 1533-position model. The record is from RNAcentral.
UACGUAGGGUGCGAGCGUUGUCCGGAAUUAUUGGGCGUAAAGAGCUUGUAGGCGGUCUGUCGAGUCUGCUGUGAAAAUCCGGGGCUCAACCCCGGACUUGCAGUGGGUACGGGCAGACUAGAGUGUGGUAGGGGAGACUGGAAUUUACGGUGUAGCAGUGAAAUGCGUAGAGAUCGUAAGGAAGACCAGUGGCGAAGGCGGGUCUCUGGACAGUUCCUGACACUGAGGCACGAAGGCCAGGGGAGCAAACGGG